Molecule: long non-coding RNA, 1263 nt
Filed under: Gossypium barbadense (sea-island cotton)
Lineage: Eukaryota; Viridiplantae; Streptophyta; Magnoliopsida; Malvales; Malvaceae
Description: long non-coding RNA (GBAR_LNC016563)
Source: RNAcentral
UUUCAUGCCUGUUAUAAAAUCAAAAGUUUAUCCUAAAGAACUCAUUUUCUGCCCUCUUUUACAAAAAAGCAAAUGAACCCUCUGCUAGGGUUUUCAUUUUUCUCUGCCGCCGCCGCCAGCAAGGCCGUCUACAGCUUCCGUCGUCGGCCCGGUCUCCGAUUGCGACGGAGAGGGGAAAGAUUCGACAACACCAGGUAAUUUUCUCACCUCUUAAUCGUUUCUUUUUCUUUCUUUUUUUUACACACGAUAAAUAAAUAAAAAAGAUUCAAGAACAGAAAAGACCAUCGUAGCAAAAAAAAUCACCUUCAAUAUACUGCUUUUUAUUUUCUUCUAUCUUUUUUUUUGUUUACACUAAUUUCUUUCUCUCUUUUUGAUUCAAUCUGCCUAUUCCCCCCCCCCCAAAAUAUAAUAGCUUCCCCUAUAAUUUAUGCUAUCUUUUCAUUAUUCUAGCCUUCUCUUGCGGUUCGUGAUUUUGUGGCAGGUACAUACUGGAAGGAUCGUGUACGACGUGUGGGGGCGACGUGCUGCAACGGAGGCGAUAACUGCUGGAGGGAGAACGUGUGCGGCGCUGGGGGAGAAGGGUUAGGGUUUCUGGAAACAGUUUAGCAUUAGGUUAAUUGGGCCAGGCUAGAUUUGGGUUUGGGUUAAUGUAAUUAUUUUUUAGGGUCUGUUGUAAUUGGGUUAAUGGAUAUUUGGGCCGUUUAAACGGACUGGGCAUUUUUUGUCAUUUUUUGUUUUUUAUUUGAUUUGGACCCCGGGAAAUAAUUGGGUAUCACAAGGAUCAUCUCCAAUGUGAUUAUGAAAUGCAAAAUUCUUCCCAAAAUUAACUUUUUCCCAACUUGUAAAUCCUUUAAUGGUGAAUACGUCCCAACUGGGUUGCCUAACGGGUUUCAUGUUAAAAAAGGUAACAUGGUAAACAAUAUGCAACAUCCUUAGUUUGAGAAUACUCAAGCUAAGAAGAAAAUCAGUAAACCAAGAAUAUUGAAAAUGCCUAGGAUGUUUUUCUAGGGAUUAUGGAUAACUAGAGAGAUGAAUUUGACACGGAUCUGCUCUCAAGUAAGCUCGUCAAACUUCAUCUCGUUGAUUAAUUGAAUAUGCCCACAUUGGUCAAUGUAACCCCAGAUCAUGUUCUAUAAGAGGAUAAUUAACAUCUUUAACAUCGACAGACAGAUUCCAGAGGAGAUUGAGUGCAACUUUAAUGCUCAAGCCUAGGAGAUUUGGGUGGUAUACUAUUUUUGAAGUAUCGACGUGUUUCUUUCUAAG